GCUUUCCUUAAGUUUGUAGAGCACAAGGCUCUUAACCUUGUGGUCGUGGGUUCGAGCCCCGCGGUGGGCG
This 70-nucleotide transfer RNA is filed under the name Triticum aestivum (bread wheat). It matches the Rfam family "tRNA". Rfam says of the family: Transfer RNA (tRNA) molecules are approximately 80 nucleotides in length. Their secondary structure includes four short double-helical elements and three loops (D, anti-codon, and T loops). Lineage: Eukaryota; Viridiplantae; Streptophyta; Magnoliopsida; Poales; Poaceae. The record is from Rfam by way of RNAcentral.